This is a non-coding RNA of Pelobates cultripes (western spadefoot toad), 507 nucleotides long. The record is from the annotation of a GenBank genome assembly. NCBI's taxonomy places the organism in Eukaryota, Metazoa, Chordata, Amphibia, Anura, Pelobatidae.
UGUCAAAUCACGGAUACCAGUCCUAGUCCCUAAAAAGGCGACCAUAUGUACUUUUUUCCAUUUUUUUUUACACUGGGCACUUUCACUAUGUGCAGGUAACCAACAUCUUAAGUAUGGUUCUGCACAUUAGCACUAUGUAACUUUCUAACCUCUUUUCCAGCCCUAAAAAUUCUUUAUCUAUUAAGUAACCUUUGCAGGAGAUACAUUAUUACUAGAGAUUGUUUCUUUCCUUUUAUUACUACAAAAGUUCUCUCACUGGUUACUUUGUACUAACAAUAUUUUGAUACAUUCUCUUAUAGAGCUCUUUUUCUACAUGGCAUUUAUCUUAGAACAGUGUUACCAUAGAGUUACUUAAUAUUAAUGUGGAUAGAGAGGCAUAUAUAUUCUAUAGAUGCUUUUCUUUACUUAUAGUAGUACACUGCUAUCAUAGAGUUGCCAGGUUAAGUGACUAAUUUUUUAAUACAUAUGGUCGCCUUUUUAGGGACUAGGACUGGUAUCCGUGAUUUG